GAGGAAUAUUGGUCAAUGGACGAGAGUCUGAACCAGCCAAGUAGCGUGAAGGAUGAAGGUCCUACGGAUUGUAAACUUCUUUUAUAAGGGAAUAAACUCUCCCACGUGUGGGAGCUUGUAUGUACCUUAUGAAUAAGCAUCGGCUAACUCCGUGCCAGCAGCCGCGGUAAUACGGAGGAUGCGAGCGUUAUCCGGAUUUAUUGGGUUUAAAGGGAGCGCAGACGGGUCGUUAAGUCAGCUGUGAAAGUUUGGGGCUCAACCUUAAAAUUGCAGUUGAUACUGGCGUCCUUGAGUGCGGUUGAGGUGUGCGGAAUUCGUGGUGUAGCGGUGAAAUGCUUAGAUAUCACGAAGAACUCCGAUUGCGAAGGCAGCACACUAAUCCGUAACUGACGUUCAUGCUCGAAAGUGUGGGUAUCAAAC
Molecule: ribosomal RNA, 420 nt
Filed under: uncultured bacterium
Lineage: Bacteria
Description: bacterial SSU rRNA
Rfam family: Bacterial small subunit ribosomal RNA
Source: RNAcentral